CAGCUCCAAUAGCGUAUAUUAAAAUUGUUGCAGUUAAAAAGCUCGUAGUUGAAUUUCUGCUAAAAAUAACCGGUCUGCUUUUAAUAAAGGUGGUAUCUUGGUGUGUUUUUAGCAAUAAUGUCCUUUGAAAUGUUUUUUACUUCAUUGUAAUAAAUUAUAUUCAGGAUUUUUACUUUGAGAAAAUUAGAGUGUUUCUAGCAGGCUAAUGCUUUGAAUACUGCAGCAUGGAAUAAUAAAAUAGGAUUUUGGUUCUACAUUAUUGGUUUUAAGAGCUAAAUUAAUGAUUGAUAGGGACAGUUGGGGGCAUUUGUAUUUAACUGUCAGAGGUGAAAUUCUU
RNAcentral lists this ribosomal RNA (337 nucleotides) under Hepatozoon felis. RNAcentral describes it as "partial 18S ribosomal RNA". It matches the Rfam family "Eukaryotic small subunit ribosomal RNA", at positions 586 to 921 of the family's 1831-position model. Lineage: Eukaryota; Apicomplexa; Hepatozoidae. The record is from RNAcentral.